Molecule: ribosomal RNA, 322 nt
Filed under: uncultured eukaryote
Lineage: Eukaryota
Description: partial 18S ribosomal RNA
Rfam family: Eukaryotic small subunit ribosomal RNA
Source: RNAcentral
CCCUUAGAUGUUCUGGGCCGCACGCGUGCUACACUGAGUGGAUCAGCGGGUCAGGUUGCGCGAAAGUGUUUCCUAAUCUUGAAAUCCGCUCGUGAUGGGGAUUGACGGUUGCAAUUUUCCAUCAUGAACGAGGAAUACCUUGUAAGCGCGGGUCAUCAUCCCGCGCUGAAUACGUCCCUGCCCUUUGUACACACCGCCCGUCGCUCCUACCGAUUGAGUGGUCCGGUGAGGCUUUGGGAUCUGAGCGGAAAGAGCGUUUCGCUGUUUCUGCUCGGAAAACUCAGUCGAACCUUAUCAUUUAGAGGAAGGAGAAGUCGUAACA